UACGUAGGGUGCAAGCGUUAAUCGGAAUUACUGGGCGUAAAGCGUGCGCAGGCGGCUUUGCAAGACAGAUGUGAAAUCCCCGGGCUUAACCUGGGAACUGCAUUUGUGACUGCAUGGCUAGAGUGCGGCAGAGGGGGAUGGAAUUCCGCGUGUAGCAGUGAAAUGCGUAGAUAUGCGGAGGAACACCGAUGGCGAAGGCAAUCCCCUGGGCCUGCACUGACGCUCAUGCACGAAAGCAUGGGGAGCGAACGGG
Molecule: ribosomal RNA, 253 nt
Filed under: uncultured bacterium
Lineage: Bacteria
Description: partial 16S ribosomal RNA
Rfam family: Bacterial small subunit ribosomal RNA
Source: RNAcentral